RNAcentral lists this ribosomal RNA (253 nucleotides) under uncultured bacterium. Its description in RNAcentral is "partial 16S ribosomal RNA". It matches the Rfam family "Bacterial small subunit ribosomal RNA", at positions 524 to 776 of the family's 1533-position model. The record is from RNAcentral.
UACGUAGGGAGCAAGCGUUGUUCGGAUUUACUGGGCGUAAAGCGUGCGCAGGCGGUUUUGUAAGACCGAUGUGAAAUCCCCGGGCUUAACCUGGGAACUGCAUUGGUGACUGCAGAGCUAGAGUGUGUCAGAGGGAGGUGGAAUUCCGCGUGUAGCAGUGAAAUGCGUAGAGAUGCGGAGGAACACCGAUGGCGAAGGCAGCCUCCUGGGAUAACACUGACGCUCAGGCACGAAAGCGUGGGGAGCAAACAGG